RNAcentral lists this unclassified non-coding RNA (432 nucleotides) under Hevea brasiliensis (rubber tree). Lineage: Eukaryota; Viridiplantae; Streptophyta; Magnoliopsida; Malpighiales; Euphorbiaceae. The record is from RNAcentral.
AGGUUCUCACGUUUGGUUGCAAACGUUUGUGGUCCUCAACCAUCAUCCCAAGUAGCUCAGCAACAUCCUGCACUCUAUCGUAGGACUCAGCCCUUGUAUAUGCUUGGAUAACCCAAUUAUACGUCUCCGUAUCAGGUUUCAUAUGAUCGUCACCAUAUUCCAUAUUCUCAAAUGUCGCAAAAGCAAUUUCAGGUAUCCCACAGCUAGCCUGCACACUCAAAAGACAAUUGAAAUGGGAGGUAGUAGCCAUUCUGCCAGCAGCCUCCAUUUCAUAGGCAAUAGUUAACGCAUUUGAGUGAUCUCCUACUUUACAAUCUUCUUCUAUCAGGAGAUCAUAGAUCUCAUCAGUUGCUCUGAGUCCACCCUCAGCACCCUUGAGAAACACUUUGUUGGCAUCUUCUAGAUGAUUACUCCGUACAAGCUCCUCAACAA